CAGUCGCCGCGGUAAUACGGAGGGCGCGAGCGUUACCCGGAUUUACUGGGCGUAAAGGGCGUGUAGGCGGCCUGGGGCGUCCCAUGUGAAAGGCCACGGCUCAACCGUGGAGGAGCGUGGGAUACGCUCAGGCUAGAGGGUGGGAGAGGGUGGUGGAAUUCCCGGAGUAGCGGUGAAAUGCGCAGAUACCGGGAGGAACGCCGAUGGCGAAGGCAGCCACCUGGUCCACUUCUGACGCUGAGGCACGAAAGCGUGGGGAGCAAACAGGAUUAGAUACCCGAGUAGUCCCUGUCUCUUAUAC
RNAcentral lists this ribosomal RNA (301 nucleotides) under uncultured bacterium. RNAcentral describes it as "partial 16S ribosomal RNA". It matches the Rfam family "Bacterial small subunit ribosomal RNA", at positions 509 to 807 of the family's 1533-position model. The record is from RNAcentral.